RNAcentral lists this ribosomal RNA (481 nucleotides) under Anolis tropidolepis. RNAcentral describes it as "partial 16S ribosomal RNA". It matches the Rfam family "Bacterial large subunit ribosomal RNA", at positions 1925 to 2608 of the family's 2925-position model. The record is from RNAcentral. Lineage: Eukaryota; Metazoa; Chordata; Lepidosauria; Squamata; Anolidae.
AAACGGCCGCGGUAUCCCUAACCGUGCAAAGGUAGCGUAAUCACUUYGUCUUAUAAAUAAAGACCCGUAUGAAUGGCUAAAUGAGUAUUUAACUGUCUCCUUUAACUAAUCAGUGAAACUGAUCUCUCAGUACAAAAGCUGAAAUAAAAACAUAAGACGAGAAGACCCUGUGGAGCUUUAAAUUUUAACAAAGUAUUAAAACAUAUUUAUGGUAAAAAAUUUUUAGUUGGGGCGACUUUGGAGCAAAACCUAACCUCCAAGAAAAGGUGCCACCUAAACCAGGCUGACCGGCCAAACAUCUAGACCCAGUAUUUUUUACUGAUUAAUGAACCGAGUUACCCCAGGGAUAACAGCGCCAUCUUCUUCAAGAGUYCCCAUCGACAAGAAGGUUUACGACCUCGAUGUUGGAUCAGGACACCCAAAUGGUGCAACCGCUAUUAAAGGUUCGUUUGUUCAACGAUUAAUGUCCUACGUGAUCUGA